GCGGUGUUUAAGGAUGUUCGAAUUUGGAGGUUGUGCCCUUGAGGCGUGGCUUCCGAAGCUAACGCGUUAAAUCGACCGCCUGGGGAGUACGGCCGCAAGGUUAAAACUCAAAUGAAUUGACGGGGGCCCGCACAAGCGGUGGAGCAUGUGGUUUAAUUCGAUGCAACGCGAAGAACCUUACCUACUCUUGACAUCCAGCGAAUCCUGUAGAGAUACGGGAGUGCCUUCGGGAACGCUGAGACAGGUGCUGCAUGGCUGUCGUCAGCUCGUGUUGUGAAAUGUUGGGUUAAGUCCCGCAACGAGCGCAACCCUUAUCCUUUGUUGCCAGCGGUUCGGCCGGGAACUCAAAGGAGACUGCCAGUGAUAAACUGGAGGAAGGUGGGGAUGACGUCAAGUCAUCAUGGCCCUUACGAGUAGGGCUACACACGUGCUACAAUGGCGUAUACAAAGAGAAGCGAACUCGCGAGAGCAAGCGGACCUCAUAAAGUACGUCGUAGUCCGGAUUGGAGUCUGCAACUCGACUCCAUGAAGUCGGAAUCGCUAGUAAUCGUGGAUCAGAAUGCCACGGUGAAUACGUUCCCGGGCCUUGUACACACCGCCCGUCACACCAUGGGAGUGGGUUGCAAAAGAAGUAGGUAGC
This 640-nucleotide ribosomal RNA is filed under the name Edwardsiella tarda. RNAcentral describes it as "bacterial SSU rRNA". It matches the Rfam family "Bacterial small subunit ribosomal RNA", at positions 796 to 1434 of the family's 1533-position model. Lineage: Bacteria; Pseudomonadati; Pseudomonadota; Gammaproteobacteria; Enterobacterales; Hafniaceae. The record is from RNAcentral.